Oncorhynchus gorbuscha (pink salmon) is the source of this 514-nucleotide long non-coding RNA. RefSeq lists it as uncharacterized. The transcript has 3 exons. The record is from RefSeq and is a predicted model, not a curated record. NCBI's taxonomy places the organism in Eukaryota, Metazoa, Chordata, Actinopteri, Salmoniformes, Salmonidae.
GGAAUUUUCUCAGUGGCGUUACGAUGUCAGCAGCCAAGGACAGCAGGCCGCACGGAACUGGGCCUCUGUUUCAGAGGAUGGAUAAAUGUCAUCUGCGCUCAACCUCCCUAUUACCUAACGGUACUUUAGUUUUGUUUUGGCGAUCAUGAAGAGACAAUGCGAGUGACACUUUUGGUUAGGAUCACACUGGCUAUUCAACUGCACACAGAGGUCUACGUUACAUUUCAACUAUAUGGGCUACCAUCUGUUUUGACCACACACACUGCGAAAGCAGGCAUUCCUGUGGGCUGUCCUCUGAUCAGUUCUGGCAGACGCUCUGAUUCCAGAGUAUUUCAGCAAUGACAUGCGGGCUGGGGAACACUUGUGACAGAUAUGGGGAAAAUAUGGUCUCUAUUUUAGAUAACCAAUAUAUUGAUGUUGAGUGCACAGAAAGGUUAUGAUACAGUUUUGUCAUUUUCACUGUAAAACGUCAAUUUGAGCUGUCAGACUUGUUUCAACGUGUUUAUUUGAUAUG